CCUACGGGAGACAGCAGUGAGGAAUAUUGGUCAAUGGCCGCAGGGCUGAACCAGCCAAGUCGCGUGAGGGAUGACGGUCCUAUGGAUUGUAAACCUCUUUUGUCAGGGAGCAAAGGGCGCCACGUGUGGCGUUUUGCGAGUACCUGAAGAAAAAGCAUCGGCUAACUCCGUGCCAGCAGCCGCGGUAAUACGGAGGAUGCGAGCGUUAUCCGGAUUUAUUGGGUUUAAAGGGUGCGCAGGCGGAAUGUCAAGUCAGCGGUAAAAUUUCGGGGCUCAACCCCGUAGUGCCGUUGAAACUGGCGGUCUUGAGUGAGCGAAGAGUAUGCGGAAUGUGUGGUGUAGCGGUGAAAUGCAUAGAUAUCACGCAGAACUCCGAUUGCGAAGGCAGCAUACCGGCGCUCAACUGACGCUCAUGCACGAAAGCGUGGGUAUCGAACAGGAUUAGAUACCCGAGUAGUC
Molecule: ribosomal RNA, 459 nt
Filed under: uncultured bacterium
Lineage: Bacteria
Description: partial 16S ribosomal RNA
Rfam family: Bacterial small subunit ribosomal RNA
Source: RNAcentral